Long non-coding RNA from Scatophagus argus, 6158 nucleotides. RefSeq lists it as uncharacterized. The transcript is spliced from 9 exons. The record is from RefSeq and is a predicted model, not a curated record. Lineage: Eukaryota; Metazoa; Chordata; Actinopteri; Scatophagidae.
CAGUUGUAACUCAUGAUAUCUGUCACCCAGUUUCUGAAAAUAGAUUUCUCUGGGUACUCCGGCUUCAUCCCACAAUUCCAAAAACAUGCACAUUAGAUUAAUUGGAUACUCUGUAUUGCCCCUAGGUGUGAGUGUGUGUGGUUGUCUGUCUUUGUGUGUUAGCUCUGCUAUUGACUGGCAAUCAGUCCAGCCCAUUAUUAGCUGGGAUGUGUUCCAACCUCCCGCAACCCUGCAUUAAGUAUAGGUAGAAUUUAAUGUAUAUGUUAUUGUAACAGGGAUAAUAAAAUGUCCCAGUGUGUGAAGGGGACGUGAACGCAUCUGUUCACGUGUUUGCUCGUGAGACUACGAGUGGCCAAUCACGGCGCUUGCAGCGCCUGUUACAAGCUGUCUGUGCCGGCUCCCACGUAGAGGUGUGGGAGAAGGCUGCGGACUGGUGCAGCAGGUGGGAUUAUUUAGAUAAAUAUUCGUUUCAUCGCAUAUCGGUUGUAAUCCUAAUGCUUAUUGAUGAUUGUACAACUAGAUCAAAUGCCAACUACUGCGAGGGUAGACGCCGUUUGGUCGCACGUUGUGUCGGCUGUACAAGAGGAAUUGGCCAGGUUCACCUGGUUGUGGUGAUAAACUGAUGGCGAGCUACUGAACUGCCCGGAGUUGAAGACCCAGCUUUUCCUGAUGAUCUGUUUGAGAUGCCACCACGAAUCAGCCAUCUUAAGGAUGCAAGUCAUCAUGUUGUUUCGAAGUCUGACAAAACAACCAAAUUAGAGGUGAAGUACGUAAUUGCAGUAAAAGGUAUGGUUGAGUAUGAUGUGAUUAAUCCGUUUCAAAUUAGUUACUAUCUGGUGAAAUCUAGACACAUAUGAAAGAAUGGAUAGGCUAUCCUGUUCUGUUGAAAAUGUGUUUGUUGUCUUUUACAGGGCGUGGUAUAUUUGCAAAGAGUUCAAUUUGCAAAGGAGAUUUUGUUGUCAAAUAUAGGGGAGAUAGGAUAAAUGAUGCAGAAUCCCAGAGAAGAAAAAAACUUUACCAUCCGUCAUGUACUGCUUUCAUGUUUGCCUUCAAGUGGUGAGGGAAAACAUGGUGGACUUCCAAUUGUGCAUGUACUACACCAUUUUAUAUUAUACUACACUCUAGUAGACCAAGUGAGGCUUUGAUUUUGCAGUGAUAUAUUGUGUUGUUUGUAUUCCCAAUUUUCUUCUUCUUUUUAAGUAUUGAUGGAUCGUUCGGACGGCUAGUCAAUGAUGACCACAGAUCUGCAAACUGUAAGAUGAAAAGUGAAUGGAAACCCACACCUUUGUCUGUUUGCCCUGAACGACAUUAAAGAAGGAGAAGAAAUUACCUAUGACUACAGAGGUGAUGACUGCCCUUGGAGAACACAAACGACCGGCAUUACAGCUAACAACAUGGUGGAGGCUGACUCCCAUUCUUCCCCCCUGUCAGAGACUCAGACGGAUGAUGCAACUGGUGCAAACAACACUCCUCAACAGAUGGUGACAGAAUUCCCAAAUGAAGAUGACACUUUUGUACCAACACUGAGACGGACCAAAAGUAUCAUAAAACAUCACCCCAAACAUCCAACAAGACAUGAACCACCACGACCAUCCAAAAGACGUGAACCACCAUCAUCAGAAAAUGAGAUAUCUUCAGGAGUUAGUGCUGUGAAGCCUUUCUCCAAAGGUAAAGCCCCCCUGAAGAAGAAGAAGACUCCCUGGCAGCAGACAGAGGUGCAGGCCAUGGAAAGGCACAUGAAUCGAUUCAUCACAUCUUGUGUUGUACCAGGAAAGAGUCACUGUGAGAAGUGUUUAAAGGCUGAACCAGAAGCUCUUAAGAACCGGGACUGGCAGACCCUGAAGUUCUACGUUUACAACAGAAUAACAGCCUACAAAUGGAAAUUUCAGCGUGAAUAGUUUGAAUGUCACCAACUAUCUGGUAGGGCAUUUUUUUUCUCCAUGUCUAAAAACAGGUUCUGCAUUUUGCAUUUGAUUUUUGUUUAAAAGAGUUUGAUUGGUUCAUUUGCCCUGAGUUUGUUAAUAUAGUUGAACUCAUUGAAAUUUGAGAUCUGCAAUCUAAAUGUGAGUUUAAUAUUUUGUUCAAUUAUUAGUAGUCAUUUUGUUAAGGUGGCACUACGUGACAAGUGAUGAAGUCAACCACCCAGGAUCAGCUAACUCUUGCUUGCGGUGCUGGGUGGUUGACUGUGAUUAAACAUAUAAUAGAAUAGUAAGGAUAUCAAUUAGUCAAACGUAAAUUUUCCUAUAUAUGUUAUAAAGAUGAUUAUAUAUAUAUAUAUAUAUAUAUACACGUCUUCUGAUAUACUAGUCUAUCGUCUCAUCAAGCUAAACACUAAAAACUCAUAGUUUCAGUUGCCAUCGUAUAUGCUACAUUAUGUAUAACAGUGCUUAUGAAUUUAGCAUUCAUUAGCAGGCACCUAAUCCUGAUAAAAUUAAGUUAAAAAGUCCCAGUGGUUUUACUAUCUUGGUGUGUUUCAAAGUCAUAAUUGGUUAGUUUUGCUGAAAAGCAGCCAGAGAGGAGAUCUUCUUCAUCUUCAUCUUCUUCACUAUCAAUCAUACUACACAUACAGUGAAGGACCCUGAAGGAAUGAACACAUUAAAAAAACACAAAAUAAGACAUUUAUUCAGUGAGCACCAGUCAGUACAAGCGUUCUUUUUCCUCAGAAGCUCAAGUUUUGUUUAAACAGUGAAACAAUCAAACAUCAGGACAACUAAUUUUUGAAAAUCAAAACUUUUCAAACAUUGUAUACCUUUUUCAGCCAGACCAUCUUUAUAGGCAGAACUGCAUUUCAGUCAACACUUGGUGAGAGAAAAUCUUAAGUCAUUAAGUGUGCAUCAUACAAAAUCUACCUCUACUGAGUAAAAAACAUUUGGACAAUAACGCACGCAUAUAUGUACAUGUUCCAACUUCAUCAAUAUCCAAACAUGAACUAGAUUUUCACUCUGUAUUCUGCUACUGCAUAAAUUAAUGAAUACCACACAUUGAUUUCAACUAUAAUGCUAAUGCUAAAGCACUGAUGUUAAUGUUGAGACUAGUUCAGAUUACUUUAUUUCAAGCAAAGUUCAGGUGAAACAAUGCUAUAUUAUUCUUAUUUGGGCAAUCAGAUUUUAUUAUUGGAUUAUGGGAUACUAAUAAGUAAGGCAUUAAAGGAUAAACUUGUAAAAUAUGGCCAGAAUUUGACAGUAGCCUCAAAAAUGUAGUGGGCAGCAUAUCACCAUAGCAACUGCCAGUUUCUGCUCACCAUAUCCUGUUUGCAGUUAUUGUAUUUGGCUGUAGCUAUAGCUGUCAUUAGUUAGCAGCUGAGUUAGUGGCCCUGUAGCUAACAGGUUUGUAUCUAGAUCAUGUCCUCGAAUUGUGGGUAGAGUCACUACAGACAACUUAGCAGUCUUUCAAUAACACCAGAAUGGGACCAGACUCUGAGACUGACAAAGGCCAGUUUGAGGACAGGGGAUACGCCAUGGACGGGGUUUACAGAGGCUCUGACGAGGACUGUGAUUCGAGAACGAGGAGACAUGCAGAUGUGGAAAGAAGAGAGAUGAAGCCACAGGGAAGAAUGACAGACCUGGCAGGACAAAACAUGUAGAAAAUCUGAACUCAGUAUUGAUUUCAACCAAUCCAUAGGUGAGGUGUGGAAAGGCAAAACAAGUGAAGUACACCUUAACUCGCAUGGCCAUAUUUUACAAAUUCCACCUUUCAAAUAAUAUAUGUUUUCAUCUUGCAUGACUAAUUCCUUUAUUUAUUACUAUUAUUAACAUUAGAAAUCUCUACGUUCAACAGGUAGAGAAGAUUUUAGUGGUAAGAAGUCUUUGUUUGGUAAAUUCCUGCAAAAAAUGGAGGAAAAGUGAAUAAUGAUGUGAUCAGAUGGAUUUUCUAGGAAGAAAUCAUUUACAUACAGUGGAUUUACAUCCAAAACAUUACAGUACGAAAUGGACACUGAUGACUGACAUAAGAAUGUAAGUCAGGUAGAAAGACUGAUAAAAGAAAUAGUUCAUUCUGUGUGUACAGUAAACGCUGUGUUUCCUAAUGAUUCACACUGUGUUCAUACAUAAAGGUAGGUAAAGGUAGUCUGAUGUUAUUCUUUAUUUCUCUUAUUGUCAAUAAAUCCCAUUUAAAGAAAUCCAACAUUGUAUGUAUCCCACUAAUAAGUAUUGUACUCUUUAUCACAGAACUCCAUUGUCAUUCAAAAACUAUUGAAAACUUCUACUUUGGGUGAUGUUUUCCAAUUUUACCUUCUUAAUUCUUCCAGUUAUUAAUUCUGUCAGUACUACACAUACCAUUCUGCUGCUGUAGUAGAGCACCAAAUAUAGAUUAAUCUGCUGCUGAAAAUAGUACUACUAAUUCAAAUUUACUAUUAUUUCUGUUUAAGUCACAUAUGAUUAAAAAAAAAAAAAAAAAAAACAAAAUCAGUGGAAAUGACCUUGAAUGACCCAUUUUCAAAGAUUUACAUCUCCAUAAAUGGUGGUGGGUCUGAGAGCCACAGACAGGUUAGAAAAGUUGGAAAGUGUUGUGAAAUGGACUAAAAUCGUUACAGUGGAUCUUUUCGUGGGGUUUGUUGACAGUAACAGAAAUAUAAAAUGUUGCCAGGCCUUUUCCUUUGAAAAGAAAUCAUCCUAAAUGACUCACAGUCUGAUUUAUUUCUUUCAUAAGCUGCAGUGUUAAUCUAGCCUUCUUCUUCACAAGUCACAGCUAGGUUUGAUACACAUUUGGUUCUAAACCACAACGCAUGCUAAUAUUUAAUGAGACUGAAAUCAGUAAAUAUAUCAUGUUCGCUUCAAAAUUCUGUUCCAUCAAAUUCAAAAAAAUCACAUGAAUCGUUAACAGUAUUAACUACAAUAUCUUGUUUCCCUGCAAAGGAAAUUGAACACCAUUUUAUAUCAAUGGUUUGGCAAGUUUAAUAAACCAGGAUGUAUAUUUCAAAUCACAGCUAAUCAUUUACAAACCAUACUGUUUUUGAGUUUUCUUGUUAAUUUGCAUACUUUAGGGAAACAGAUAUAAACCUGACUGACACCUGUAGGAGAAAAUGUGAAGUAUAAAGGAUAUGUAGUUGUGGAGAUAGAACACUGCUAAGGUUAUUCAUGAACAUAAAUAACUUUACUCUGGACUAAAGAAUUGGAUGACACAUUGGCACUAAAAAUGAAACUAAACAUAGUGAAAGUAACUGAAAUGUGUGUGCCUGUUGCAUGUGUUGUGUUUAUUUUUCCAUGCCGAGUGUAGACGCCUGCUUCUGUAUGUUAGCAUGCGUGUGUUUUAUUUGCAUGCGUGCAUGUAUGAACACAAGUGCCUUUUGUCUGUUUACUCAAAUAUAAUUUCUAUGCAGUGAUACGUCGUCAUAAUGGCUGUAUGUGCCUGCACGUGUUUCCCAUUCAAAUUGAAACGUAUGUGAACCGUGUCGCAAUUUCAACUCUGCACUUUCAGCAUGCCUCAUGUGCGUGAGUGUGUGUGUGUGUGUGUGUGUGUGCGCAUGUGCUACCCCUGUCUCUUCAGGUCCUCUUUUGAUGUGUGUUCCCCACAUAUGUGUUCUCUAUACACAGCACAAUGUAGUGGUUGGAGCAGGAGCGAGUGUGUUGUCCUAACAGUCGUCCUGUCUGCAGCAGUGCAGCCUGGCCCAUCACUGCCAUGUCAGCCGUCCUCCAUGCUUCGCAGUAGUUAUUGGUCAGACGGAUACCCACAGCACUAGACCCAUGCCAUACCAGCUUCUCUGGCCUGGGGGGAAGAAGGUCUGCUGAGGGCCUGAGAUGCCGCUGAUGAAGAAGGUCCUUGAUGGAUCAACUCUCCAAGCUUGCUGUGAGGGACAUGUUCAGGAUCAAGAAAUCCACACAUCUAUUGAGACAGUGUCUGCACACACACCUGGAUCUUACGCCAGCCAUUGCGAGCUCUGAUGUACAGCUCUCCUCCCUUCUCAGACACAUAGACCAAGGUUCCCUCUGCAGCCCGGUUUCUUACCAGGUUAGCAUAUCCUGGAGAUCCAGGGGGGCCAGGAGGUCCAGGAGGUCCAGGGAUACUGACAGCUGAUGAUGACACACCAGAAAUACAUUUAAAAGAGCCAACACUGUCACUGUUGUGUAAAUUUGAAGUCUGUAACUUUUGGCCAAUAAUUUUUAUAGAUGUAAGCUGAGGUUUUCACUACUCUCUCGCCUUCACACAAACAUACUUGAUCC